Molecule: ribosomal RNA, 497 nt
Filed under: uncultured bacterium
Lineage: Bacteria
Description: partial 16S ribosomal RNA
Rfam family: Bacterial small subunit ribosomal RNA
Source: RNAcentral
GAUGAACGCUGGCGGCGUGCCUAAUACAUGCAAGUCGAGCGAACAGACGAGGAGCUUGCUCCUCUGACGUUAGCGGCGGACGGGUGAGUAACACGUGGAUAACCUACCUAUAAGACUGGGAUAACUUCGGGAAACCGGAUCUAAUACCGGAUAAUAUAUUGAACCGCAUGGUUCAAUAGUGAAAGACGGUUUUGCUGUCACUUCUCGAUGGAUCCGCGCCGCAUUAGAUAGUUGGGAAGGUAAAAGCUUACCAAGGCAAGGAUGCGUAGCCGACCUGAGAGGGGGAUAGCCGGCACGGGAGGGGGGACACGGACAAUAGGACUGAGGGAGGGAGCAGUAGGGAAUCUGACGCAGCGGGCGAAAGCAUGACGGAGUAAGCCCGAGUGAGUGAUGAAGGUCUUGGGAGCGUAAAACCGUGUUAUUAGGGAAGAACAGAUGUGGAAGGAGAUAAGCACGUCUUGACGGUACCGAAUCAGAAAGCAACGGCUAACUACGUG